RNAcentral lists this unclassified non-coding RNA (393 nucleotides) under Hevea brasiliensis (rubber tree). Lineage: Eukaryota; Viridiplantae; Streptophyta; Magnoliopsida; Malpighiales; Euphorbiaceae. The record is from RNAcentral.
GUGCCAUUAAAUAGUUGGCCUGAUUUCUUUAGUAUGGAUUGAUGAUAUUGAGUUGCAGUUGCGUGGAACAUAUAUAGCAAAAGGACAUGGUAGAUUGCAUAUCAUAAAGUUAAUUCCUUUUCUGAGUUAUACGAAGUUUUACAUGAGGAACAAAUAGGACUUGAAUGUGUGCGUUUCUUUGUGUGUGCGUGCCAUGGAUGGAUAACUUUCUUUGGAAAUGUAUGAUAUAUAUUUGCUAGAAGAACAAUUAGCACAAAUUAUCUAUUCUUUUGCUUCUUCAGGAUUUGAGUUAUUUGAUAUUAUCUAUAACUUUUUCAGCAAAUGCUGUAAUGUAGUUAGGUGUCAAUAUUCCUGCUGUACCUCGUGUAAUGCAGUUUGAUAUUUGAUUUGAUA